GUCUAUGGUCAUACCACCCUGAACGUACCCAAUCUCAUCUUAUCUCAGAAGCCAAGCAGGGUCAGGACUGGUUAGUACAUGGAUGGGAGAAAAACAAUAUUUUGAAAC
This 108-nucleotide ribosomal RNA is filed under the name Carlito syrichta (Philippine tarsier). The record is from RNAcentral. Lineage: Eukaryota; Metazoa; Chordata; Mammalia; Primates; Tarsiidae.